UACGAAGGGGGCUAGCGUUGCUCGGAAUCACUGGGCGUAAAGGGUGCGUAGGCGGGUCUUUAAGUCAGGGGUGAAAUCCUGGAGCUCAACUCCAGAACUGCCUUUGAUACUGAGAGGCUCGAGUCCGGGAGAGGUGAGUGGAACUGCGAGUGUAGAGGUGAAAUUCGUAGAUAUUCGCAAGAACACCAGUGGCGAAGGCGGCUCACUGGCCCGGUACUGACGCUGAGGUGCGAAAGCGUGGGGAGCAAACAGG
RNAcentral lists this ribosomal RNA (253 nucleotides) under uncultured bacterium. RNAcentral describes it as "partial 16S ribosomal RNA". It matches the Rfam family "Bacterial small subunit ribosomal RNA", at positions 524 to 776 of the family's 1533-position model. The record is from RNAcentral.